CCACAGUGGUGGAGACUUGGGCAGCAAGUGGUCCUCAGAAUGUCCAGUCCAGGUGGCACGUGGCUUCUUCCUGGGCAUGCCAGGAGCCCUGGAUGCUCCACUCAAGUGUGUCCAGCUCACAGCUGGAAAAAUCGUCUCCCAGAAUGUCCUUCCAUGCUCCACUUAAGACUCAACCCCUCUACAUUGCAAAGCCACAUGCCCUCUCUUGAUCUGAUCUGUUCAAACCAAUAUUGAGUUGACUGUGGGUUUCAGUUCCUUCCAAGACACUGCCAUGAGCCCAAUAUUUUAGCCCUUGGGAAAGAUAUGUUCCUGGCUCACACAUACGACCUUACAUACACAGCACCCCACAGACUCACUGUACAUACACACAUGGCCCAGGCUCUUGGCAUACUGGCAUAGAUCUUCAGGGCGCAUUUUUCCAAAGGAGUGACCUGACCUCAGGAAGUACUUGGUAUCCAGAGAAUACUUCCAGAAACUCUAUCAGCAGGAAGCAGGGCACAACCCCUAAAGUGCAGUAAAGGACAGGACAGUGUAGAGUGACGGGUACUGCAGCAAUGAUACAUGCUUCCAGUAUAUUGCAUGGGCUAGAAGCUAAAAAAAGGCCAUCCCCUAGACUUGCGUGCAGCUAGCAAUCCAGUUGCAAUUUAGGUUCUGCACUCAAAGUCCCCUUCCUCAGGGGACCUGAAUUUGAGAUGUAUUAACCAGUACAGACUGCUUACAGCAUCUGUUUCACUGAUGCAGGUUUUAGUAGGUCCACGUGGCUCUGGGGCCAAAGGUUUCGAGAGUGGUCUCCCAUCAUCCGAUGGCAGUUAGGAUACCGUGUCCUAGUGAAACAGUGGUGGUGGGGACUUUCUGGUCUGCAGACUGUGAGUGUGGAGAUGUGGCCCUGAAGAAAGGAUGGGGGCAGCAGCUCCCCAGGGGAAGCCAGGGUACCCUUGCCAAGUCCCACUCUACUGCUCAGGGAGCCAAGCUGUGCCUGCUUCUCCAGCCUUCCAACAGUUCUGUGAACAUCUAAGCCCCUGUGUGGAACCAACAUCUGCUUGGCACCUAGGAGGCAUUUAUUGCUGUCAUCUGAACAUCAUAAAUAAUAAUAAAUACUUACUGGCACAGUAGUUGAUGACACAAAUGAUGCAGGCGACUGCACUCAAGUCUUGCCACUGGGGCUUGGUCAUCUGACCACAUUGCAUUGGUGACGUGGGAUGCUGGAGCCUAUGGCCCCGUGUGGAGAUGCAGUCAUGCUAGUAUCACCUGCCAUGACCUGGGAUGUGUCUAUCUGGUGAAGGACGGCUGUCGCAGCAACACAUCAAGGCCCAGGGAACAGGCACUUUGGAGAUGCUUGGCUGCUUCUCUCCACACUGAAGAAUUGAAAGAAAAGAAACAAAAGGCUGAGAGCUUUACCUCCUUGGCUCACUCACGGACACAAAGUGGUUUUACGAUGGCUCUAAGUUUUCUCCACAGCCCCUGGAUGCUUCAGCACAGGCUCACAUUCACAGCACGGCCCGACGGCCUCCACAGAAGUCGAAUUGUUGGUUGGGAAAGAGUGGGACCCAGUCCUGGGGUUGGUGACAUUUGGUAGCACUGGUGUAAGUCCAGUUUCACAGAACACCAGGACAUCACAGAGCCUCCCACGCCUAGUGAUGCUGACACCAGUGCCUGACGUGUGAUUGAUGGAGAUCCUGCCCUGUGCCACCAUCAUGGGUACAAAUACAGAUAAAACACCACAGUCUCUAAUCUCCCAGAUGUAUCACCUACAAGGAGAACUGGAUGUGCUUGUAGAGAAACAGAAACAAAGCGCUGUUGGAAAUCACAGCCGUUAACCAAUUUGGGCUGAUGUGGGGGUUGGAUUUGGGAUUUGGAGACCGUACUACUGAGGAGGGUUUUCAUAAAGACAGUAAUAUUCGUUCCAGCUUUUGAAAGUGAGCAAGGAAUUCUCAGGUUAGUGGAUGGAAAAACGUCUGAGUACAGAACAGAAUGACAGUUUUGGAGAAUGGCACAUACUUCAAUACAGCUGGAUCCCAAAUUUCCCUGGGAAAGUCAGAAGGAAAUUAGUCUAAAAAGCAGGCCAAGAGUGGUGGUUCACGCCUGUAAUCCCAGCGCUCUGGGAGGCCAAGCUGGGUGGAUCACCUGAGGUCAAGAGUUCGAGACCAGCCUGGCCAACACAGUGAAACCCCAGCUCUACUGAAAAUACAAAACUUAGCCGGGCAUGGUGAUGCAGAACUGUAAUCCCAGCUACUCAGGAAGCUGAAGCAGGAGAAUCACUUGAACCCAGGAGAUGGAGGUUGCAGUGAGCCGAGAUCAUGCCACUGCCCUCCAGCCUGGGCCACAGAGCGAGACUCCAUCUCAAAAAAAAAAAAA
RNAcentral lists this long non-coding RNA (2355 nucleotides) under Macaca fascicularis (crab-eating macaque). Its description in RNAcentral is "lncRNA (ENSMFAG00000063363.1)". Lineage: Eukaryota; Metazoa; Chordata; Mammalia; Primates; Cercopithecidae. The record is from RNAcentral.